UACGUAGGGGGCAAGCGUUGUCCGGAAUCAUUGGGCGUAAAGAGCGCGUAGGCGGUCCGGUAAGUCCGCUCUGAAAGUCCGGGGCUCAACCCCGGGAGGCGGGCGGAUACUGUCGGGCUAGAGUCCGGAAGAGGCGAGUGGAAUUCCUGGUGUAGCGGUGAAAUGCGCAGAUAUCAGGAGGAACACCAAUGGCGAAGGCAGCUCGCUGGGACGGUACUGACGCUGAGGCGCGAAAGCUAGGGGAGCAAACGGG
Molecule: ribosomal RNA, 253 nt
Filed under: uncultured bacterium
Lineage: Bacteria
Description: partial 16S ribosomal RNA
Rfam family: Bacterial small subunit ribosomal RNA
Source: RNAcentral